RNAcentral lists this long non-coding RNA (142 nucleotides) under Numida meleagris (helmeted guineafowl). Its description in RNAcentral is "lncRNA (ENSNMEG00000017870.1)". The record is from RNAcentral. Lineage: Eukaryota; Metazoa; Chordata; Aves; Galliformes; Numididae.
AGAACAAGCGGGAUGAAGUGUGUGGUUAUUAGAACAAACCAUGAGGGAAAAUCCUGUUCCUGACAUCAUCUUUGAAGAUUAAUUUUGCUGUUCUGUGGUGGCUCUGAUACCAUUGUGUUGACAAGUGACAAGAGGUAAGAAA